GAUCAUGCCUCAGGAUGAACGCUAGCUACAGGCUUAACACAUGCAAGUCGAGGGGCAGCAUGGUCUUAGCUUGCUAAGGCCGAUGGCGACCGGCGCACGGGUGAGUAACACGUAUCCAACCUGCCGUCUACUCUUGGACAGCCUUCUGAAAGGAAGAUUAAUCCAGGAUGGGAUCAUGAGUUCACAUGUCCGCAUGAUUAAAGGUAUUUUCCGGUAGACGAUGGGG
Molecule: ribosomal RNA, 226 nt
Filed under: uncultured bacterium
Lineage: Bacteria
Description: partial 16S ribosomal RNA
Rfam family: Bacterial small subunit ribosomal RNA
Source: RNAcentral